CAGUCGCCGCGAUAAUACGUAGGGUGCAAGCGUUAAUCGGAAUUACUGGGCGUAAAGCGUGCGCAGGCGGUUAUAUAAGACAGAUGUGAAAUCCCCGGGCUCAACCUGGGAACUGCAUUUGUGACUGUAUAGCUAGAGUACGGCAGAGGGGGAUGGAAUUCCGCGUGUAGCAGUGAAAUGCGUAGAUAUGCGGAGGAACACCGAUGGCGAAGGCAAUCCCCUGGGCCUGUACUGACGCUCAUGCACGAAAGCGUGGGGAGCAAACAGGAUUAGAUACCCGCGUAGUCCCUGUCUCUUAUAC
This 301-nucleotide ribosomal RNA is filed under the name uncultured bacterium. Its description in RNAcentral is "partial 16S ribosomal RNA". It matches the Rfam family "Bacterial small subunit ribosomal RNA", at positions 509 to 807 of the family's 1533-position model. The record is from RNAcentral.